Long non-coding RNA from Passer domesticus (house sparrow), 1194 nucleotides. RefSeq lists it as uncharacterized. Lineage: Eukaryota; Metazoa; Chordata; Aves; Passeriformes; Passeridae. The transcript has 2 exons. The record is from RefSeq and is a predicted model, not a curated record.
CGCCGCCGCCCCCCCGCGCUGCCCCUCUUAAAGGGGCCGCGCCCGUCCCCGCGCUCCCAAACCGCGAGAGCUGCGGGAACACCAGGGCCCGGGGGCGACCCUGCACCCCGGGCUGCCCUUCUGGACAUCCCUGCACCCCGGGCUGUCCUUCUGGACAUCCCUGCACCCCGGGCUGUCCUUGUCCGGACGCCACGGAGCGGCCGCGGGGCUGCGCUCCGCAGAGUCCCGCGCGGAGCGGGGCGGUCACUGUCCCGUGCCCCGAGCGCUCCCGGGCACGGCCGCACGGCCCGGCCGUGCCCUCAGCGGGGAAGCCCAGCACGGGGCCGGGGAGGGGCAGCCGGCCCGGAGCAGCCCCAGCCGGGCUCACGGGAGCUGCGCCCGGAGCAUCCCUGCUCCCCGCGGGCUGCGCCGAGCCCGCCGACAGCACCCGGGCGGAUGGCGGCGAGUUCGGAUGUGGCCCAGCACAUCCCAGCAGCCAGGGAAGGAAGCUCUUGGAGCGCUCAGCGCACCCGCGGAGGGCGGGAGUGUGAUUUAACCCCUUCCGGCAGGAGUUACCUGGGUUGUGAAAGUCCCAUAUCAAAGCCUCCUCUCCGUGCAGGACGUGGAGUUUUGGCAGCUCCUUGAGUAGGAUGAGGAGGAUGAAGGCACAUCUGUUCUCCAUACCCAUCAGUAAGAACCAGCAGUAAGAGAAGGCAGCACACUGCAGCAUUAUCAGCAACUGACAGAAGAGGAAGGCAGGUGACAAGCCAGCCUUUAGAGAGAUGAGCAAUUUGGCUUUUGAGUGCCUGGGCUUCAACAUUCCUGCCUGUAGUCCCAAAAUUGAGCAGAAAACUUGCAAGGUCUUUCUGGACCAUCAGCAUCUGUGAUCACAGUGAUGAAAUGCUGCCUUGAUGGUGUGAGGGAAGGUGUGAGAGGAGACACAUUUUUGGGAAUCUGUCACUCUGGGUGGGGUCAUUCUCACCCCCUGCCUAUUCUCCUUUUCUUUUAGAUUUCCUACAAAUUGGUCAAUGGAGCCAUGAAUUGUAUUUGAUACAAUGCACAGGGAUUUUUUAGCUUAGCCAGCUGCCUGACACAGACAGCAGUCACGUCUUCUGCUGGACCCAAAAGCACUUUUCUGGAGAGGAUUUCUCCUGCUCACUAGGACUGUUUUCAUAGAAAUAAAGAUAACCUUUUGCUUCUUUUAAAGUGUUUUCA